Molecule: ribosomal RNA, 1950 nt
Filed under: Campylobacter jejuni
Lineage: Bacteria; Pseudomonadati; Campylobacterota; Epsilonproteobacteria; Campylobacterales; Campylobacteraceae
Description: partial 23S ribosomal RNA
Rfam family: Bacterial large subunit ribosomal RNA
Source: RNAcentral
UAAAAAAAGGUAAGCUACUAAGAGCGAAUGGUGGAUGCCUUGACUGGUAAAGGCGAUGAAGGACGUACUAGACUGCGAUAAGCUACGGGGAGCUGUCAAGAAGCUUUGAUCCGUAGAUUUCCGAAUGGGGCAACCCAAUGUAUAGAGAUAUACAUUACCUAUAUAGGAGCGAACGAGGGGAAUUGAAACAUCUUAGUACCCUCAGGAAAAGAAAUCAAUAGAGAUUGCGUCAGUAGCGGCGAGCGAAAGCGCAAGAGGGCAAACCCAGUGCUUGCACUGGGGGUUGUAGGACUGCAAUGUGCAAGAGCUGAGUUUAGCAGAACAUUCUGGAAAGUAUAGCCAUAGAGGGUGAUAGUCCCGUAUGCGAAAAACAAAGCUUAGCUAGCAGUAUCCUGAGUAGGGCGGGACACGAGGAAUCCUGUCUGAAUCCGGGUCGACCACGAUCCAACCCUAAAUACUAAUACCAGAUCGAUAGUGCACAAGUACCGUGAGGGAAAGGUGAAAAGAACUGAGGUGAUCAGAGUGAAAUAGAACCUGAAACCAUUUGCUUACAAUCAUUCAGAGCACUAUGUAGCAAUACAGUGUGAUGGACUGCCUUUUGCAUAAUGAGCCUGCGAGUUGUGGUGUCUGGCAAGGUUAAGCAAACGCGAAGCCGUAGCGAAAGCGAGUCUGAAUAGGGCGCUUAGUCAGAUGCUGCAGACCCGAAACGAAGUGAUCUAUCCAUGAGCAAGUUGAAGCUAGUGUAAGAACUAGUGGAGGACUGAACCCAUAGGCGUUGAAAAGCCCCGGGAUGACUUGUGGAUAGGGGUGAAAGGCCAAUCAAACUUCGUGAUAGCUGGUUCUCUCCGAAAUAUAUUUAGGUAUAGCGUUGUGUCGUAAUAUAAGGGGGUAGAGCACUGAAUGGGCUAGGGCAUACACCAAUGUACCAAACCCUAUCAAACUCCGAAUACCUUAUAUGUAAUCACAGCAGUCAGGCGGCGAGUGAUAAAAUCCGUCGUCAAGAGGGAAACAACCCAGACUACCAGCUAAGGUCCCUAAAUCUUACUUAAGUGGAAAACGAUGUGAAGUUACUUAAACAACCAGGAGGUUGGCUUAGAAGCAGCCAUCCUUUAAAGAAAGCGUAAUAGCUCACUGGUCUAGUGAUUUUGCGCGGAAAAUAUAACGGGGCUAAAGUAAGUACCGAAGCUGUAGACUUGCACACAACUUAGAUUAUUUAAGUUUAGAAUAUGAGAAACUAAGUUAUAUGUUUAGUUAUAUUUUUACUGAUUUUUAUAGAGUAAAGAUAGAAAUAAAACUUAAUAAAAUCAGUAAAAAUAUUCUUAGGCUAAAGUUAAGUAGUUUAAGUUGUGUGCAAGUGGUAGGAGAGCGUUCUAUUUGCGUCGAAGGUAUACCGGUAAGGAGUGCUGGAGCGAAUAGAAGUGAGCAUGCAGGCAUGAGUAGCGAUAAUUAAUGUGAGAAUCAUUAACGCCGUAAACCCAAGGUUUCCUACGCGAUGCUCGUCAUCGUAGGGUUAGUCGGGUCCUAAGUCGAGUCCGAAAGGGGUAGACGAUGGCAAAUUGGUUAAUAUUCCAAUACCAACAUUAGUGUGCGAUGGAAGGACGCUUAGGGCUAAGGGGGCUAGCGGAUGGAAGUGCUAGUCUAAGGUUGUAGGAGGUUAUACAGGCAAAUCCGUAUAACAAUACUCCGAGAACUGAAAGGCUUUUUGAAGUCUUCGGAUGGAUAGAAGAACCCCUGAUGCCGUCGAGCCAAGAAAAGUUUCUAAGUUUAGCUAAUGUUGCCCGUACCGUAAACCGACACAGGUGGGUGGGAUGAGUAUUCUAAGGCGCGUGGAAGAACUCUCUUUAAGGAACUCUGCAAAAUAGCACCGUAUCUUCGGUAUAAGGUGUGGUUAGCUUCGUACUAGGAUUUACUCCGAAAGCGAAGAAACUUACAACAAAGAGUCCCUCCCGA